UCCCAGGUGGCUCAGUGGUUAAGAAUCUGCCUGCCAAGCAGGAGAUGCGGGUUCGAUCCCUGGGUUGGGAA
This 71-nucleotide transfer RNA is filed under the name Ovis aries (sheep). It matches the Rfam family "tRNA". From Rfam's summary of the family: Transfer RNA (tRNA) molecules are approximately 80 nucleotides in length. Their secondary structure includes four short double-helical elements and three loops (D, anti-codon, and T loops). Lineage: Eukaryota; Metazoa; Chordata; Mammalia; Artiodactyla; Bovidae. The record is from Rfam by way of RNAcentral.